RNAcentral lists this ribosomal RNA (495 nucleotides) under uncultured bacterium. RNAcentral's name for it is "partial 16S ribosomal RNA". It matches the Rfam family "Bacterial small subunit ribosomal RNA", at positions 28 to 507 of the family's 1533-position model. The record is from RNAcentral.
GACGAACGCUGGCGGCGUGCCUAAUACAUGCAAGUAGAACGCUGAAGGAGGAGCUUGCUUCUCUGGAUGAGUUGCGAACGGGUGAGUAACGCGUAGGUAACCUGCCUGGUAGCGGGGGAUAACUAUUGGAAACGAUAGCUAAUACCGCAUAAUAGUAGAUGUUGCAUGACAUUUGCUUAAAAGGUGCAAUUGCAUCACUACCAGAUGGACCUGCGUUGUAUUAGCUAGUUGGUGGGGUAACGGCUCACCAAGGCGACGAUACAUAGCCGACCUGAGAGGGUGAUCGGCCACACUGGGACUGAGACACGGCCCAGACUCCUACGGGAGGCAGCAGUAGGGAAUCUUCGGCGAUGGACGGAAGGCUGACCGAGCAACGCCGCGUGAGUGAAGAAGGUUGUCGGAUCGUAAAGCUCUGUUGUAAGAGAAGAACGAGUGUGAGAGUGGAAAGUUCACACUGUGACGGUAUCUUACCAGAAAGGGACGGCUAACUACGUG